AUUGAACGCUGGCGGCAUGCCUUACACAUGCAAGUCGAACGGCAGCACGGGAGCAAUCCUGGUGGCGAGUGGCGAACGGGUGAGUAAUAUAUCGGAACGUGCCCAGUCGUGGGGAUAACGUAGCGAAAGCUACGCUAAUACCGCAUACGAUCUAUGGAUGAAAGCGGGGGAUCGCAAGACCUCGCGCGAUUGGAGCGGCCGAUAUCAGAUUAGGUAGUUGGUGAGGUAAAGGCUCACCAAGCCGACGAUCUGUAGCUGGUCUGAGAGGACGACCAGCCACACUGGGACUGAGACACGGCCCAGACUCCUACGGGAGGCAGCAGUGGGGAAUUUUGGACCAAUGGGCGGCAAAGCCUGAUCCAGCAAUG
Molecule: ribosomal RNA, 368 nt
Filed under: uncultured bacterium
Lineage: Bacteria
Description: bacterial SSU rRNA
Rfam family: Bacterial small subunit ribosomal RNA
Source: RNAcentral